RNAcentral lists this ribosomal RNA (380 nucleotides) under uncultured bacterium. Its description in RNAcentral is "bacterial SSU rRNA". It matches the Rfam family "Bacterial small subunit ribosomal RNA", at positions 30 to 412 of the family's 1533-position model. The record is from RNAcentral.
UUGAACGCUGGCGGCGUGCCUAACACAUGCAAGUCGAACGGUAACAGGCCCUUGGGGUGCUGACGAGUGGCGGACGGGUGAGUAAUGCUUAGGAAUCUGCCUAGUAGUGGGGGAUAACCCGGGAAACUCGGGCUAAUACCGCAUACGCCCUACAGGGGAAAGCGGGGGACUUUCGGCCGUCNCGCUAUUAGAUGAGCCUAAGUCCGAUUAGCUAGUUGGUAGGGUAAUGGCCUACCAAGGCGACGAUCGGUAGCUGGUCUGAGAGGACGACCAGCCACACUGGGACUGAGACACGGCCCACGACUCCUACGGGAGGCAGCAGUGGGGAAUAUUGGACAAUGGGCGCAAGCCUGAUCCAGCGAUGCCGCGUGUGUGAAGAA